CACAAUUCAAAAUGGCCGAAGUGUAAACAAAGGAUGAAUUGAGAAAAAUAUUUGAAACAAGAAGGCAUAGAGAAAUCAGGCAAAGGCCAUUCUCUAAGGAAUCAGAGUCUAGUGAGGAGGAGGAUAAUAAUGAUGAAAAACUUGAGGAAAAAGAGGGAUGGAAGUUAUUGAGGAAGGCCAUAGAAUCCAAAAGUCUAAGAACACAAUUAGAUACUCCAUAUUCCGAAGGGUAACCAUUUCAAAACUGUAAUCAUCACCUACUUUAAUUUGUUACUGCUUCAUUCUCAGUUGGCACCAGCAGUUAAAUCUCCGUUAGGAGUGAGGUUAUGAGAAGUAGCAAAAUGAUUUAAACCAAACUCUGUUGAAAAGCCACUAACAAAUUGUCUUAGGAGUUGAAAAUCUAACCAUUGUUUGUAAAAGUGAUGACUAGCGGCCACAAGCCAUAGAACUCAGAAACUAAUAAAAAAAGUUAGGAGUUAAGAUAUUGUGUUUAUAAGAAUGGGGAGGGGGUUGCUAUUCAAUGUAUGGAGACAUUUUUCUCACAAGCUGUCAAAUUAAAAAGUAGAGUAUUAGUAGUAAAAUGGUUUGAGUGCUGGACUGGCUAUAUCAUAUCCACGGUUCUGGGAUUUUAACUACUAUAAAUGCCAAUAGUUGGUGCAACACCAAAAUGUAAGAAAUGCACCAAAGAAGUGCUCCAACUAUUUCCACUUUUAAGAUGGGUGUCUUCAAAUGUUCAACCACAUGUAAUUCCUAACAAAUAAUAAUUGGCCUUUUCUUUUCGGUGUCAACUAAUAAUAAUUCUUGGCAGUCUGAUUUGUAGAGGGACUGACUCUUUUUGACUUUACAUGACUCAUUGUGAUUUUCCUAUUAAUUGUACUUUGUAUCUGAUUAUAAAGAAUAAAGAGUUUUAAAAAAGAAA
Stylophora pistillata is the source of this 919-nucleotide long non-coding RNA. The record is from RefSeq and is a predicted model, not a curated record. Lineage: Eukaryota; Metazoa; Cnidaria; Anthozoa; Scleractinia; Pocilloporidae.